Molecule: ribosomal RNA, 247 nt
Filed under: uncultured bacterium
Lineage: Bacteria
Description: partial 16S ribosomal RNA
Rfam family: Bacterial small subunit ribosomal RNA
Source: RNAcentral
UACGAAGGGGGCUAGCGUUGUUCGGAAUUACUGGGCGUAAAGGGCUCGUAGGCGGCCAACUAAGUCAGACGUGAAAUCCCUCGGUCUUAAACCGGGGAACUGCGUCUGAUACUGGAUGGCUUGAAUCCGGGAGAGGGAUGCGGAAUUCAGGGUGUAGCGGUGAAAUGCGUAGAUAAUCUGGAGGAACACCGGUGGCGAAGGCGGCAAUCCUGGACCGGCAGUUGGACGCUGAGGAGCGAAAGCCAGG